Ictalurus furcatus (blue catfish) is the source of this 3107-nucleotide long non-coding RNA. RefSeq lists it as uncharacterized. The transcript has 3 exons. The record is from RefSeq and is a predicted model, not a curated record. NCBI's taxonomy places the organism in Eukaryota, Metazoa, Chordata, Actinopteri, Siluriformes, Ictaluridae.
UGGACUUGUACGAUGGAUGCGCCACAUCAUUUAAUGUGAAAAGAUACAAUCAUGGACAUGCUGAAUGAUGUGACGCAUGACUCCGAGGUGCUCAGCCACACAGGGAGAAGAGGGAGAGAGAGAACGAGAGAGAGAGAAAGAGAUGAGUCGAGCUGACAGAUCCUCAGAGGAAGAUGGCACAGUGUAAUACGGGUUGCGUGGAGCCUGGAGGGAACUCGAGGUGGGGACACCCUGGACGGGGUGCCAACCGAUCACAGGACACAAUCACACACACACAGUCACACACUACGGACAAUUUGGGAAUGUUAAUUCACCUGCAACGCAUGUCUUUGGACUGGGGGAGAAAAUCGGAGUACCCAGAGGAAACCCCCGAAGCACGUGGAGAACAUGCAAACUCCACCAACACAGGAUGGUGGCGGGAUAUGAACUCCUAGCCCUGGAGGUGCAAGGUGCUAACCACUAACCCACAAUGCCCACCUCAGUCAUUGGAAGUUGUGCACUGUAAAUAAGAUGCACUCAGCCUGGGAAUAUUACAAUCCACACAAAAGUGUACAUUUGUCAACAGCCAAGUUUCUAUACCAAAAACAUCACCUGAUGCGCGCGCGCACACACACACACACACACACACACACACACACACACACACAGUUCCCACUGAGACUGAUGAGGCCACUGAGAGGUCAAAUAUGUCACAGCUGAAAAUAUCGGACCGCCUCCCGCUGCUUAGUGUCAGUUCCGGGCCUGCAUGACUGGCAGAAGCCUUUGAAAGUGUGUGUGUGUGUGUGUGUGUGUGUGUGUGUGUGUGAGAGAGAGAGAGAGAAAGCGAGAGAGAGAGCUUUUAUGUCUUGAUAUCUUGGUGUGGACCAAAUGGAUCCCUGGAUCCACACAAGGAAAGAACUAUCUGACAGUUGGCCUCUACCACAAGGUUAGAGGUUAGAUUUAGGUGCAGGCAUAGCAUUAUUGGAAGGCUCUCACAAGGAUAAUAAGACUGUGUGUGUGUGUGUGCGUGUUAAGGAGAGAGACAAAGAGAGAAAAGGAGAGUGAGAGAGAGAGAUCCGGUGCAUUGUACAAUCCAAAGGGCAAACCAGUGAAUGGAAAGAUCCCCAGCAGAUGAUUGACACAACCUGACACUGUAAUAUAUCACUCCUGCAAAGCAUCAUGGGAGAUGUGAGUGACCCCUCUAAUUUCCCUGCCAGUAUGUUUGCUUUCCUCCCUCCACAAAGGCAUUUAGAUCUAAAUUAGUUCGAAAUGUUUGAUGUAAACUGAUUAAAUCAGUUUUGAACCUCCGCAGAGCCCUUAUUAUUUUUCAGUUAUUAGCUUUAAAACAGAUUAUUCAGUGAGUGUUAUGAAUUAUUCAGUAAGUACAGUGAAGGCAAUAGUAAAAUGUCUGUAGUUAUGAGAGCAAGGAAUGAGCACAGUCAGGGUUUGUGUAGCCUAAGAACCCUCGAAGAAAGGGUUAAAUGUAUUUAAAGAGGUUUCUAUACAGUAUCACUUGAACUAUGUCUCACUUUGUGACUUCAUGACUAUUUUUUAAUAUCUGCGUCAUGUGUACAUGACUAAUGAGUCUAAACUCACAAAUAGAAAUUAAUCACACUAAUCGCUAAUGACAUGCCUCCAGUCUUUCACAGAAAGCAAUUUGCACACCUGCUAAACACGGUUCAUGCAAAUAUCUGGCUUCGAGAGAAAUCACUCUUCCGAUUAAAUAGCCAUUAAAAAAACAGUGUUUAUGUUAGAUAGUGACGAGGCGUGUUCUUGCCCUCGGUGCUCUGUGUUUCAACAGAAUAAACAUCCCUGAUAUUUCAACUAGAGGAAAGGGAUUCCCCCAAAGAGAUUUAGCAUCUGACCCCUCCUCUCUUCUCCUCCUCUCUUCCCCUCCUCUCCACCACCUUCUUUUUUUUUUUCCACCAGACAAUUCACACUGGCAGUUUCCAUGACAACAAAUAGAAAUUUAACUGCACACCUCAUGUGAGUGUUUCACUGCCAGUGAUAUGAAGCCAGAAUCUCCUUCCAUGUGACCACUCCCAAAAAAAACACCUCUUUAUCAUCCUCACAACUCAACCCAUCUAUCUGUCUAUCUGUCUAUCUGUCUGUCUAUCUGUCUAUCUAUCUAUCUAUCUAUCUAUCUAUCUAUCUAUUUAUGUCUGUCUAUCUGGCUCUGUCUGUCUGCCUGUCUAUCUGUCUAUAUAUAAUAGAAUUUCAUUAAAAAGAAACGGAAUAGAAUAGAAUAGAGUACAUUCUCCCCUUUUCUUUCCUUCCUUCCUUCCUUCCAUCCUUUUUAUCUUCUUUCUUUUUACUGUAAUUUUAUAUAUUUAUUUAGUAUAAUUUAAAGAGUUACAUUUAAAUUAUACUAUAUAAAUUACAUUUUUGUAUUUAUUUCAUAUUAAUUUCAAAUAAUUUCCAUUCAUGAUUAAUUUCAUAAUUUUUUUUUCUUUUGUUUUGUUCUCCCUUCCUUUGUUCCUUCCUUCAUUAUCUUCUUUCUUUCUUUCUUUCGUUCUUUCUUUCUUUAUUGUAAAAUUAAUAAAUUUACUUAGUAUAAUUUAUAUAAGGUAUAAAUUAAAAUGUUAUAAUUAAUUUUAUAUUCAUUUAUUUUUUAUUAUUUCAUAGUUUUAUUUUUUUCUGCGGCUUGAUAUUUCUUUCUUUCCUUAAACUUGGUUUAAUUCUCAUUUUGAUUUAUAAUACUUUAUGUUUUGAGAUUAUUAUAUCAAAAUAUAAUAAUAAUAAUAAUAAUAAUAAUAAUAAUAAUAAUAAUAAUAAUAAAAGUAAGAACUUUUUGUCACUCCCCAGACUCCCAAUUCCUCAUUUUUUAUAACUAUACACAUUUGAUAUCAUUUGUACAGAUGUUACUAAAUUAUUCAUAUUGAGCUAUUCGGAAUAAUAUAAAGAAAUACAUGGUAAUAUAUUAAUAUAGUAACAUACUACUUAGUAUUGUGUUUAUGCAUUAUUGAACACCUGGAUGGAUAACUGAAUAAUAAGCAAAAACUUUUUUUAAAAAAAUUAAGUAAAUAUUCUUUAUCAGUACUAAGCAAUAAUUUGGUCACAUUCUGGCAGUUUUGAUAUUUUCUGACUCAGACACUUCUCUAAUUCUGAUUGAUGCUUGACCUAUAUAG